This 264-nucleotide ribosomal RNA is filed under the name uncultured bacterium. RNAcentral describes it as "partial 16S ribosomal RNA". It matches the Rfam family "Bacterial small subunit ribosomal RNA", at positions 1228 to 1500 of the family's 1533-position model. The record is from RNAcentral.
CAAUGGCGUAAACAAAGGGAUGCGAGAGUGUGAGCUUAAGCGAAACCCAAAAAUAACGUCCCAGUUCGGAUUGUAGUCUGCAACCCGACUACAUGAAGCUGGAAUCGCUAGUAAUCGCGGAUCAGAAUGCCGCGGUGAAUACGUUCCCGGGUCUUGUACACACCGCCCGUCAAGCCAUGGGAGCCGGGGGUGCCUGAAGUUCGUGACCGCAAGGAGCGACCUAAGGCAAAACUGGUGACUGGGGCUAAGUCGUAACAAGGUAGC